GAUUUCUGGUUCGGCGCACUUGGCCCGUCUCGGUUUACGGGAUUGUGUGCCGGUGUGCGCCAUCCAUCCUUCGAGAGAACACUUCUACCCUUCACUGGGUCGGGAGUGCUAUCUCGAUCUUUUACUUUGAAAAAAUUAGAGUGUUUAAAGCAGGCUUGCGCUAUGAAUACAUUAGCAUGGAAUAAUAAUUUAGGACUUCGGUUCUAUUUUGUUGGUUUCUAGGACUGAAGUAAUGAUUGAUAGGGAUAGUUGGGGGUGCUAGUAUUCAGCGGCCAGAGGUGAAAUUCUCGGAUUCGCUGAAGACUAACUUAUGCGAAAGCAUU
Molecule: ribosomal RNA, 323 nt
Filed under: Cercomonas sp.
Lineage: Eukaryota; Cercozoa; Cercomonadida; Cercomonadidae
Also listed under: 1 other name
Description: SSU rRNA
Rfam family: Eukaryotic small subunit ribosomal RNA (bases 107-323)
Source: RNAcentral